RNAcentral lists this ribosomal RNA (550 nucleotides) under Listeria monocytogenes. RNAcentral describes it as "bacterial LSU rRNA". It matches the Rfam family "Bacterial large subunit ribosomal RNA", at positions 1398 to 1944 of the family's 2925-position model. Lineage: Bacteria; Bacillati; Bacillota; Bacilli; Caryophanales; Listeriaceae. The record is from RNAcentral.
GAGGCCGAUAGGCGUAGGCGAUGGACAACAGGUAGAGAUUCCUGUACCAGUGCUAAUUGUUUAACCGAUGGGGUGACACAGAAGGAUAGGGAAUCGCACGAAUGGAAAUGUGCGUCCAAGCAGUGAGUGUGAGAAGUAGGCAAAUCCGCUUCUCGCGAAGCAUGAGCUGUGAUGGGGAAGGAAAUUAAGUACGGAAGUUCCUGAUUUCACGCUGUCAAGAAAAGCCUCUAGGAAGAGUAGUACUGCCCGUACCGCAAACCGACACAGGUAGAUGAGGAGAGAAUCCUAAGGUGGGCGAGAGAACUCUCGUUAAGGAACUCGGCAAAAUGACCCCGUAACUUCGGGAGAAGGGGUGCUCUAUUAGGGUGCAAGCCCGAGAGAGCCGCAGUGAAUAGGCCCAGGCGACUGUUUAGCAAAAACACAGGUCUCUGCAAAACCGUAAGGUGACGUAUAGGGGCUGACGCCUGCCCGGUGCUGGAAGGUUAAGAGGAGUGCUUAGCUUCGGCGAAGGUACGAAUUGAAGCCCCAGUAAACGGCGGCCGUAACUAUA